GGGCCCGCACAAGCGGUGGAGCAUGUGGUUUAAUUCGAUGAUACGCGAGGAACCUUACCAGGGCUUAAAUGUUAGGUGACAGAUCUAGAAAUAGAUUUUUCUUCGGACACUUAACAAGGUGCUGCAUGGUUGUCGUCAGCUCGUGCCGUGAGGUGUCAGGUUAAGUCCUAUAACGAGCGCAACCCCUGUUGUUAGUUGCCAGCGAGUAAUGUCGGGAACUCUAGCAAGACUGCCAGUGCAAACUGUGAGGAAGGUGGGGAUGACGUCAAAUCAUCACGGCCCUUACGUCCUGGCUACACACGUGCUACAAUGGUAUCUACAACAGGAAGCAAGACUGCGAAGUUAAGCA
Molecule: ribosomal RNA, 349 nt
Filed under: uncultured bacterium
Lineage: Bacteria
Description: bacterial SSU rRNA
Rfam family: Bacterial small subunit ribosomal RNA
Source: RNAcentral